CCUACGGGAGGCAGCAGUGAGGGAUAUUGGUCAAUGGGCGCGAGCCUGAACCAGCGAAGUAGCGUGAAGGAUGACUGCCCUACGGGUUGUAAACUUCUUGUAUAAAGGAAUAAAGUGAGGCACGUGGGCCUUUUUGUAUGUACUUUAUGAAUAAGGAUAGGCUAACUCCGUGCCAGCAGCCGCGGUAAUACGGAGGAGCCGAGGGUUAUCCGGAUUGAUUGGGUUUAAAGGGAGCGUAGAUGGGUUGUUAAGUCAGUUGUGAAAGUUUGCGGCUCAACCGUAAAAUUGCAAUUGAUACUGGCAGUCUUGAGUACAGUUGAGGUAGGCGGAAUUCGUGGUGUAGCGGUGAAAUGCUUAGAUAUCACGAAGAACUCCGAUUGCGAAGGCAGCUUACUAAACUGCCACUGACAUUGAUGCUCGAAAGUGUGGGUAUCAAACAGGAUUAGAUACCCCGGUAGUC
This 460-nucleotide ribosomal RNA is filed under the name uncultured bacterium. RNAcentral describes it as "partial 16S ribosomal RNA". It matches the Rfam family "Bacterial small subunit ribosomal RNA", at positions 338 to 795 of the family's 1533-position model. The record is from RNAcentral.